Molecule: ribosomal RNA, 255 nt
Filed under: uncultured bacterium
Lineage: Bacteria
Description: partial 16S ribosomal RNA
Rfam family: Bacterial small subunit ribosomal RNA
Source: RNAcentral
UACGUAGGGUGCAAGCGUUAAUCGGAAUUACUGGGCGUAAAGCGUGCGCAGGCGGUUGUGCAAGACCGAUGUGAAAUCCCCGGGCUUAACCUGGGAAUGGCAUUGGUGACUGCACGGCUAGAGUGUGUCAGAGGGGGGGUAGAAUUCCACGUGUAGCAGUGAAAUGCGUAGAGAUGUGGAGGAAUACCGAUGGCGAAGGCAGCCCCCCUGGGAUAACACUGACGCUCAUGCACGAAAGCGUGGGGAGCAAACAGG